This 651-nucleotide long non-coding RNA is filed under the name Malus domestica (apple). RNAcentral describes it as "long non-coding RNA (MDOM_LNC020644)". Lineage: Eukaryota; Viridiplantae; Streptophyta; Magnoliopsida; Rosales; Rosaceae. The record is from RNAcentral.
UCCUAUGUGAGUUUUUGAGCCUAUUGAAAGUGUGUGCAUUUUUCAUACACUCCUAUUUUUUUAUGUGUGAUGAACUUAUGUGAUAUACAUCUCUAGAACUUGCGUAACGAUCUUUCGAAAUGUUUGUCAUUGAUUGCAUGAAUUUGGAAAUGAUAGAGGCAUUAGGUUUACCACUAUGGCCCAAAUAACCAUGUUUCCCAAAGAAAAAUGAUAUCAUUAGAUUGCCAAUUUGAGCCGUGUAUGUUGAGCCUUUUAUUUCUUAUCACCAGAUAUGUCUACCCUUAUACCUGAAACAUUUUUCCUUACCCUUUCCAAGCGAGCAAUGCGAAAUUGUCUUAUGAGAAACGUUGGUGAAGUACUGUGAAGAUGUUUGGCAAAAAGAAUAAGUGUGGGGGUAUUUCAUGUUUGUGAUUAAAAAAAAAAAAAAAAAAGGAAAAAAGAGAAGAAAAGAAAAAGAAAAAGAAAAAUUGUACACAAAGAAAAUAAAAAGUUAUUCAAGUUUCAGUUUAAGAGUAUGGUUGGAGGUGCUAGAAGAAUUGCUGGAGAGCUUGAGUUCUUAUAAAUCUAAAGAAAAGAAUUGCUUGCAAUGUAGCUUGGAACUUGUGUUUUCCUAUUCUUUCAUUUCAAUAACCCUAUCCCUAAGCCUCAUUA